AGAGUUUGAUCAUGGCUCAGGAUGAACGUUAGCGGGAGGCUUAAUACAUGCAAGUCGAGCGGUAAGUUUUUAUAGCAAUAUGAAGACCUAGAGCGGCGCACGGGUGAGUAACGCGUACACGACCUGGCCUAAACUGGGGGAUAGCCUUGGGAAACUGAGGGUAAUCCCGCAUGUGAUUAUGUUACUGAUGGUGAUAUAAUUAAAGCUUCGGCGGUUUAGGAUGGGUGUGCGUCUGAUUAGCUAGUUGGUAGUGUAACGGACUACCAAGGCGAUGAUCAGUAGGGGGCGUGAGAGCGUGACCCCCCACACGGGUACUGAGACACGGACCCGACUCCUACGGGAGGCGGCAGUAAGGAAUAUUGGUCAAUGCCCGGAAGGGUGAACCAGCCAUCCCGCGUGAAGGAUGAAGGGGCUCUGCCUUGUAAACUUCUUUUGUAUGGGGCGAAAAAAGGGGAUUUAUCCUCGACUGACGGUACCAUAAGAAUAAGCACCGGCUAACUCCGUGCCAGCAGCCGCGGUAAUACGGAGGGUGCGAACGUUAUCCGGAAUCACUGGGUUUAAAGGGUGCGUAGGCUGUUUAAUAAGUCAGUGGUGAAAGGCCGUCGCUUAACGAUGGGACUGCCAUUGAUACUGUUAGACUUGAAUCAGGUUGAGGUUGGCGGAAUGUGGCAUGUAGCGGUGAAAUGCAUAGAUAUGCCAUGGAAUACCGAUUGCGAAGGCAGCUGACUGGACCUUGAUUGACGCUGAGGCACGAAAGCGUGGGUAGCGAACAGGAUUAGAUACCCCGGUAGU
This 792-nucleotide ribosomal RNA is filed under the name uncultured bacterium. RNAcentral's name for it is "bacterial SSU rRNA". It matches the Rfam family "Bacterial small subunit ribosomal RNA", at positions 8 to 794 of the family's 1533-position model. The record is from RNAcentral.